CCUACGGGUGGCAGCAGUGGGGAAUAUAGCACAAUGGGGGAAACCCUGAUGCAGCAACGCCGCGUGAGUGAAGAAGUAUUUCGGUAUGUAAAGCUCUAUCAGCAGGGAAGAAGAUGACGGUACCUGAGUAAGAAGCCCCGGCUAACUACGUGCCAGCAGCCGCGGGAAUACGUAGGGGGCAAGCGUUAUCCGGAUUUACUGGGUGUAAAGGGAGCGUAGACGGUGGGACAAGUCUGAAGUGAAAGCCCGGGGCUCAACCCCGGGACUGCUUUGGAAACUGCCUGACUGGAGUGCUGGAGAGGCAGGCGGAAUUCCGAGUGUAGCGGUGAAAUGCGUAGAUAUUAGGAAGAACACUCGUGGCGAAGGCGGGUUCCUGGACAUUAACUGACGCUGAGGCACGAAGGCCAGGGGAGCGAAAGGGAUUAGAUACCCUUGUAGUC
RNAcentral lists this ribosomal RNA (440 nucleotides) under uncultured bacterium. RNAcentral's name for it is "partial 16S ribosomal RNA". It matches the Rfam family "Bacterial small subunit ribosomal RNA", at positions 338 to 795 of the family's 1533-position model. The record is from RNAcentral.